CAGAGAACCUGCCCUUCGGGGUAGAUCUCCCACCCUUUGUUUAUCAUACCUUUGUUGCCUCGGCGGGACCGCCCGAGAGGGCCGCCGGACUCGCGCCGGCCAGCUCCCGCCAGAGGACCCAAAACUCUAGUCAUCUUCUGUCUGAGUAAAUUAUAAAUAAGUUA
Molecule: unclassified non-coding RNA, 164 nt
Filed under: uncultured Leotiomycetes
Lineage: Eukaryota; Fungi; Ascomycota; Leotiomycetes
Description: sequence contains ITS1
Source: RNAcentral